CAGCUCCUGCUCAGACCCGAGAAGGCCCCUGUGAAUAACACUCGCUGAUAAGUGGAGGGAAGUGACAAGUGCAACCUCUGUGAGCAAAUAAAGAGAAUCUCAUCGGCAUCUGUGACUCUGAGCCUCCAGUGACCCAAACAAACUGGAAAUGUUCACAAUACCCUAAUAGCAGGAAUGCCUCGACAGUGGACCCGGAACUAGGAAGUCUGCCCUAGUACUGGAGGGAACAGGAGUCACCCUUCAGAGCAAGCCUGUCCUCCGGCUGAGCCUUCCCAGCCGGCAGAACUAAGUGAGGAAAUGAGCCCUACGAUUUUCAAUAUGCCUCUCCGAGAGAAGACUGAGAAAAGCAAUUAGAAGUUUCCGGAAUGGCCUGGAGAAGAGCCUGUUCCCGCUGACCUGUGUCACCGACCUGAGUGCAGACUUCCUGGAGGUCACCACCACCCACCUGGAGAGGGGUGGCCGGCUCCCCCAUCGCCGGGACUGACAUGUCUGUGGGCUUGUUUUGUGUUUCUGACCUCAGUCUCUUUAUCUGCAAAAUGUAUCGACUGGACCAAAUGACGUCUUGAGCGGAGGUGAUUUCAAAGAGCUCGAAUCUUCCUCUCUCCUGCCACCCUCCCCUCCUCAGCAGCCUGCUCAGGCCUCCAAGCCCAUUAGCACA
Molecule: long non-coding RNA, 658 nt
Filed under: Equus caballus (horse)
Lineage: Eukaryota; Metazoa; Chordata; Mammalia; Perissodactyla; Equidae
Description: lncRNA (ENSECAG00000050307.1)
Source: RNAcentral